This 426-nucleotide ribosomal RNA is filed under the name uncultured bacterium. RNAcentral's name for it is "bacterial SSU rRNA". It matches the Rfam family "Bacterial small subunit ribosomal RNA", at positions 354 to 796 of the family's 1533-position model. The record is from RNAcentral.
GUCGGGAAUAUUGCACAAUGGGCGAAAGCCUGAUGCAGCAACGCCGCGUGCGCGAUGAAGGCCUUCGGGUUGUAAAGCGCUUUUCGGGAGGAUGAGGAAGGACAGUACUCCCGGAAUAAGGUACGGCUAACUACGUGCCAGCAGCCGCGGUAAAACGUAGGUACCGAGCGUUAUCCGGAUUUACUGGGCGUAAAGCGCGUUCAGGCGGCUUGGCAAGUCGGGCAUGAAAUCUCUCGGCUCAACCGGGAGGGGCUGUCCGAUACUGCUAGGCUUGAGGGCAGUAGAGGCGGGUGGAAUUCCGGGUGUAGUGGUGAAAUGCGUAGAUAUCCGGAGGAACACCAGUGGCGAAAGCGGCCCGCUGGGCUGCACCUGACGCUCAAACGCGAAAGCUAGGGGAGCGAACGGGAUUAGAUACCCCUGUAGUCC